GCACGAUAUGAAAAAUUUCAACCGAUACCGAUAACCGAUAAUUUUCUUCUUCUCAUGGCCGAUACCGAUAACCGAUAAAUUCAUAUUUUUACAUUUAUUAUAAUCUUCAUAUAAUCUGCAGUUUGUGCAGGAUGCAGCGAUUGAAAACUGAUGUUUUUGUUGCUCUGGCCUAUCUAGAACAACAAACAAAAGUUUUUGGCUCUUCAAAUGUGGUCAUUAGCUAUAAAUAACAAUAACAGAGCAAAAAGCAGAACUUCAUUUGAUCCCCUGAACUGUUCAACAGAACUGUAAACUGUAAAGGAGCUAUUAUGAGACGUUAGGCUUAGCAUGCUGACCGGACUAACAUGUGACGUCCAUAUGUCUGUGGUAAAACUCACGUGUAGUCCGUUCUUGUCGAUCAGGUUGUGAAUGUAUGUGGCGACAAUAUCAUAGAGUGCAGGAAGGGACACAUCCGAGAAGAAGC
Non-coding RNA from Xyrichtys novacula (pearly razorfish), 463 nucleotides. Lineage: Eukaryota; Metazoa; Chordata; Actinopteri; Labriformes; Labridae. The record is from the annotation of a GenBank genome assembly.